Molecule: ribosomal RNA, 432 nt
Filed under: uncultured bacterium
Lineage: Bacteria
Description: partial 16S ribosomal RNA
Rfam family: Bacterial small subunit ribosomal RNA
Source: RNAcentral
AACGAACGCUGGCGGCAUGCCUAACACAUGCAAGUCGAACGAGACCUUCGGGUCUAGUGGCGCACGGGUGCGUAACGCGUGGGAACCUGCCCUUAGGUUCGGAAUAACUCCCCGAAAGGGGUGCUAAUACCGGAUAAUGUCUUCGGACCAAAGAUUUAUCGCCUUUGGAUGGGCCCGCGUUGGAUUAGCUAGUUGGUAGGGUAAAAGCCUACCAAGGCGACGAUCCAUAGCUGGUCUGAGAGGAUGAUCAGCCACACUGGGACUGAGACACGGCCCAGACCCCUACGGGGGGGAGCAUGGGGGAAUUUUGGAAAAUGGGCGAAAGCCUGAUCCAGCAAGGCCGGGGGAGUGAUGAAGGCCUUAGGGUUGUAAAGCUCUUUUACCCGGGAUGAUAAUGACAGUCCCGGGAGAAUAAGCCCCGGCGAACCCCGG